GCACGAAGCAGAAGAAAUCACCCUGCUGAGUCUUGAUCAAAUUUUUGACCUGCAAAGUCAUGAGUCAUACAGAUGAGAAGACUGACAUGGACCUCAUUGGGCCAACAUCAAAGUGGACACAUAAGGCCAGAGGACCAUGUGACAGCAUCUUCAGUGCAUCGAGGGAGUGCAUCAACCUUGGCUUUUGUACUGAGCUAAACGAUGACUCAAGAAGACAGGUGGAGGACAUUUUCACAACUCUUUCUCGUCAAAGAAAGAAAGAAAAUUCAAGAAGAUUGCCACUCACAUACCUCACAGCUGAAGAAACUACUAAGUCUGGAUUCUAGAAAAAUGGAAGUUGAACUCUGAGCAUGGUGGCCCAUAUCUACAGAGUGCCUCCCUGGUGCCCCUUCCUGAAGAAAAAGAUUUCAACUCUGUGGCCAUCAGGCUCAAGUGGAUUAACUACUUCUGAGCAUUAGAGACUGAGAUGAAUCCUCCCGAAGAAAUCUCAUCACAGAUGGUUCGGAGCCGCACUGAUUAGAAUGCUUACUGUUCCAGCACUAGGACACGUUUAGAGUGCGAUGACUUGAGUUAUCCUGCGAUCAGGAGGGAAAGGCCAAAAGAUUUCCAGAAACUUCAGCCCUGACACCUUUGAACAGAUGAAUAAGACAGAUCUU
This is a long non-coding RNA of Suricata suricatta (meerkat), 656 nucleotides long. RefSeq lists it as uncharacterized. Lineage: Eukaryota; Metazoa; Chordata; Mammalia; Carnivora; Herpestidae. The record is from RefSeq and is a predicted model, not a curated record. The transcript is spliced from 6 exons.